This 433-nucleotide ribosomal RNA is filed under the name uncultured bacterium. RNAcentral's name for it is "partial 16S ribosomal RNA". It matches the Rfam family "Bacterial small subunit ribosomal RNA", at positions 29 to 507 of the family's 1533-position model. The record is from RNAcentral.
AACGAACGCUGGCGGCAGGCCUAACACAUGCAAGUCGAGCGAGGACUUCGGUUCUAGCGGCGGACGGGUGAGUAACGCGUGGGAAUGUGCCCUUCUCUACGGAAUAGCCCUGGGAAACUGGGAGUAAUACCGUAUACGCCCUAUUGGGGAAAGAUUUAUCGGAGAAGGAUCAGCCCGCGUUGGAUUAGGUAGUUGGUGGGGUAAUGGCCUACCAAGCCGACGAUCCAUAGCUGGUUUGAGAGGAUGAUCAGCCACACUGGGACUGAGACACGGCCCAGACUCCUACGGGAGGCAGCAGUGGGGAAUCUUAGAAAACGGGGGCAACCCUGAACGAGCCAUGCCGCGUGAGUGAUGAAGGCCUUAGGGUUGUAAAGCUCUUUCAGCUGGGAAGAUAAUGACGGUACCAGCAGAAGAAGCCCCGGCUAACUCCGUG